AGGUGUACCUCGGGGGGCCAACAACUGGCUGAGAUGCAAUUAUGCGGACCCGUUGAACCUGAACCGGUUAAGACCGGCGGAGGGAAGGUUUAGCAUCCCCGC
This 102-nucleotide non-coding RNA is filed under the name Roseobacter sp. RNAcentral describes it as "TPP sequence". It matches the Rfam family "TPP riboswitch aptamer (THI element)". From Rfam's summary of the family: Vitamin B(1) in its active form thiamin pyrophosphate (TPP) is an essential coenzyme that is synthesised by coupling of pyrimidine and thiazole moieties in bacteria. The previously detected thiamin-regulatory element, thi box was extended, resulting in a new, highly conserved RNA secondary structure, the THI element, which is widely distributed in eubacteria and also occurs in some archaea. The record is from RNAcentral. Lineage: Bacteria; Pseudomonadati; Pseudomonadota; Alphaproteobacteria; Rhodobacterales; Roseobacteraceae.